Molecule: ribosomal RNA, 317 nt
Filed under: uncultured Rhogostoma
Lineage: Eukaryota; Cercozoa; Thecofilosea; Cryomonadida
Description: SSU rRNA
Rfam family: Eukaryotic small subunit ribosomal RNA (bases 100-317)
Source: RNAcentral
GACUUCUGGUUUAAUGCGCCUGGCCCGCGGCCUUUUAGGCCUGUGAGUGCCGGUGCGCGUUUACCAUCCUUCUAGGAAACGAGUCUUCCCUUAACUGGGCCGGGAUCUAGAUCAUUUACUUUGAAAAAAUUAGAGUGUUUAAAGCAGGCUUAUGCUAUGAAUACAUUAGCAUGGAAUAAUAAUCUAGGACUUCGGUUCUAUUUUGUUGGUUUCUAUAACUGAAGUAAUGAUUGAUAGGGAUAGUUGGGGGUGCUAGUAUUGGCCGGUCAGAGGUGAAAUUCUUGGAUUCGGUCAAGACUAACUUAUGCGAAAGCAUU